Molecule: long non-coding RNA, 608 nt
Organism: Salvia miltiorrhiza (redroot sage)
Lineage: Eukaryota; Viridiplantae; Streptophyta; Magnoliopsida; Lamiales; Lamiaceae
Exons: 2
Source: RefSeq, a predicted model, not a curated record
CCCAUCCACUUCCUCGAUUCCCGGAUAUAAUUAAUGAAUAGAUUUACAUUUACCUAUCAAUUUUUUUACUCCCACCGCAAAUGAAUAGGAAGCAAAUUCAGAAGCUUUUUUUUUUUUACUUUUCUUUCGUGGUGAGUAGAACUAGGGCUUCAUCCAAUUAGGUCGAGUAGUGAAGACGAAGAUCUUCGUAGUGAACAGGAGGCAUGAACAAUAGUAAAAGAUUAGGUGAAAGAGCUUACUCGGUUGAGGGGUUACACUGAUCAAAUGGUGGAAGAUGCCAAUGCUGUUAUUUUUACUUUUGGUUUGUAUAGACUCUGUGUAAGGAGCUUAGGUUGUGGGCGAGGAGGGAUUCGAACCCCCGACACAUGGUGGAAGAUGCCAAUGCUGUUAUUUUUACUUUGGUUUGUAUAGACUCUGUGUAAGGAGCUUAUAUACAUGAUUGGAUGUUUUCAUCAUUUGCAGCAUUUUAUUUAAUUUUAUUUUUUCAGUUCAAGUUGUAGUAUGUUAACGAGGAUUGCACUUUUCUAUAGCUAAAUGGGCUUUGUUCACUGAUAUGGCUAUAUGUAUGCAAAGUUAUUCAGUAAAUAUUAUGCCUUAUUCAAUUUUAA